UAGGGAAUCUUCCACAAUGGACGAAAGUCUGAUGGAGCAACGCCGCGUGAGUGAAGAAGGGUUUCGGCUCGUAAACUCUGUUGUUAAAGAAGAACAUAUCUGAGAGUAACUGUUCAGGUAUUGACGGUAUUUAACCAGAAAGCCACGGCUAACUACGUGCCACCAG
This 166-nucleotide ribosomal RNA is filed under the name uncultured bacterium. Its description in RNAcentral is "partial 16S rRNA". It matches the Rfam family "Bacterial small subunit ribosomal RNA", at positions 355 to 514 of the family's 1533-position model. The record is from RNAcentral.